Pangasianodon hypophthalmus (striped catfish) is the source of this 123-nucleotide small nuclear RNA. NCBI's taxonomy places the organism in Eukaryota, Metazoa, Chordata, Actinopteri, Siluriformes, Pangasiidae. The record is from RefSeq and is a predicted model, not a curated record.
GAGCUGUAUGAAAGGAGCGAAAGUUAGUCCUCCCUUUGACAAGGAUGGAAAAAGGUCCUACAACUGGUAUGCCACACACAUACGAUAUAUAAAAUGGGUAUAUAAUGAACUAGACAGGUUUAU